RNAcentral lists this ribosomal RNA (301 nucleotides) under uncultured bacterium. RNAcentral's name for it is "partial 16S ribosomal RNA". It matches the Rfam family "Bacterial small subunit ribosomal RNA", at positions 509 to 808 of the family's 1533-position model. The record is from RNAcentral.
CAGCCGCCACGGUAAAACGUAGGUCCCGAGCGUUGUCCGGAUUUAUUGGGCGUAAAGCGAGCGCAGGCGGUUAGAUAAGUCUGAAGUUAAAGGCUGUGGCUUAACCAUAGUACGCUUUGGAAACUGUUUAACUUGAGUGCAGAAGGGGAGAGUGGAAUUCCAUGUGUAGCGGUGAAAUGCGUAGAUAUAUGGAGGAACACCGGUGGCGAAAGCGGCUCUCUGGUCUGUAACUGACGCUGAGGCUCGAAAGCGUGGGGAGCAAACAGGAUUAGAUACCCGUGUAGUCCCUGUCUCUUAUACA